ACGCUGGCGGCACGCCUAACACAUGCAAGUCGAACGAAGUAGCAAUACUUAGUGGCAGACGGGUGAGUAACAUGUAGGUAUCUGCCCUUUGGCCUGGAAUAACACGAGGAAACUUGUGCUAAUACCGGAUAAGUCUUUACGGAGAAAGCUUUAUGCACCAUUGGAUGAGCCUGCACUUGAUUAGUUUGUUGGUGGGGUAAUGGCCUACCAAGACUGUGAUCAAUAGCUGAUUUGAGAGGAUGAUCAGCCACAUUGGGACUGAGACACGGCCCAAACUCCUACGGGAGGCAGCAGUGGGGAAUCUUGCACAAUGGAGGAAACUCUGAUGCAGCGAUGCCGCGUGAGUGAAGAAGGCCUUUGGGUUGUAAAGCUCUUUCGUCGGGGAAGAAAAUGACUGUACCCGAAUAAGAAGGUCCGGCUAACUUCGUGCCAGCAGCCGCGGUAAUACGAAGGGACCUAGCGUAGUUCGGAAUUACUGAGCUUAAAGAGUUCGUAGGUGGUUGAAAAAGUUAGUGGUGAAAUCCCAGAGCUUAACUCUGGAACUGCCAUUAAAACUUUUCAGCUAGAGUAUGAUAGAGGAAAGCAGAAUUUCUAGUGUAGAGGUGAAAUUCGUAGAUAUUAGAAAGAAUACCAAUUGCGAAGGCAGCUUUCUGGAUCAUUACUGACACUGAGGAACGAAAGCAUGGGUAGCGAAGAGGAUUAGAUACCCUCGUAGUCCAUGCCGUAAACGAUGUGUGUUAGACGUUGGAAAUUUAUUUUCAGUGUCGCAGCGAAAGCGAUAAACACACCGCCUGGGGAGUACGACCGCAAGGUUAAAACUCAAAUGAAUUGACGGGGACCCGCACAAGUAGUGGAGCAUGUGGUUUAAUUCGAAGAUACGCGCAGAACCUUACCAACACUUGACAUGUUCGUCGCGACUCUAAGAGAUUAGAGUUUUCGGUUCGGCCGGACGAAACACAGGUGCUGCAUGGCUGUCGUCAGCUCGUGUCGUGAGAUGUUGGGUUAAGUCCCGCAACGAGCGCAACCCUCACUUUUAGUUGCCAUCAUUAAGUUGGGCACUCUGAAAGAACUGCCAGUGAUAAGCUGGAGGAAGGUGGGGAUGACGUCAAGUCCUCAUGGCCCUUACGUGUUGGGCUACACACGUGCUACAAUGGUAUCUACAACAGGAAGCAAGACUGCGAAGUUAAGCAAAUCCCUAAAAGAUACCUCAGUUCGGAUUGCACUCUGCAACUCGAGUGCAUGAAGCUGGAAUUACUAGUAAUCGUGGAUCAGCGUGCCACGGUGAAUGCGUUCCCGGGUCUUGUACACACCGCC
Molecule: ribosomal RNA, 1314 nt
Filed under: uncultured Alphaproteobacteria bacterium
Lineage: Bacteria; Pseudomonadati; Pseudomonadota; Alphaproteobacteria
Description: uncultured alpha proteobacterium 16S ribosomal RNA
Rfam family: Bacterial small subunit ribosomal RNA
Source: RNAcentral